AGUGCUCACACAGCCACUUCCAUGACCUAAUUCUUCAGGGAUUCUUAAAAUGCCAUCAUUGCCAAGGCUCCCAAUAGGAUGAAGGGUAUGUUUUGUGGUGUGGCAGAGUUGCCAAGAUAAAGUUGAGGUUCAGAAGAGUUAGGUGCCAUGUAUGAAAGUGUUCGGGACUCUUUGCCAAGCUCUUUUGUUUUUAUAUGUAUACAUGCCUGCGAUACUUUGUCUAAUUAGGAUCUAGAACUAUGUGAGUAAAUACAGAAGAGCUUUAGCAAUAAUGAAGCAUUGAUUGGCAACUUUAAUUUUUUUUUUACUCAGACUAAAGGAUCAUCCCACAACUAAUAACUGUCUCAGUCAAUGAAAUGUGGUGACAUCAACAGAGGUAGCAGAGUUCCGAACCUUAAAGAUGGUUAAGUCCUAAUAAAUACAUCACCUCACUCUCUCCCUCAGAAUUCAUGCCCACAACAGACAUGGCAGACGAUCCUGUGAUUCUCUACCAUUCACAUGGCAGCAAUAGUGGUCAUGCAGAAUAGACACUGGAGUAUACUUAUUCUUCACAAAGACGUCACAAUGUCGGGAGCACCUGGAUUCUGUCGUGACAAUGGUUCGUGUUCAGUUU
Molecule: long non-coding RNA, 613 nt
Filed under: Marmota monax (woodchuck)
Lineage: Eukaryota; Metazoa; Chordata; Mammalia; Rodentia; Sciuridae
Source: RNAcentral